Molecule: ribosomal RNA, 425 nt
Filed under: uncultured bacterium
Lineage: Bacteria
Description: partial 16S ribosomal RNA
Rfam family: Bacterial small subunit ribosomal RNA
Source: RNAcentral
GUGGGGAAUCUUGCGCAAUGGGCGAAAGCCUGACGCAGCCAUGCCGCGUGAAUGAUGAAGGUCUUAGGAUUGUAAAAUUCUUUCACCGGGGACGAUAAUGACGGUACCCGGAGAAGAAGCCCCGGCUAACUUCGUGCCAGCAGCCGCGGUAAUACGAAGGGGGCUAGCGUUGCUCGGAAUUACUGGGCGUAAAGGGCGCGUAGGCGGACAGUUUAGUCAGAGGUGAAAGCCCAGGGCUCAACCUUGGAAUUGCCUUUGAUACUGGCUGUCUUGAGUUUGGGAGAGGUGAGUGGAACUCCGAGUGUAGAGGUGAAAUUCGUAGAUAUUCGGAAGAACACCAGUGGCGAAGGCAACUCACUGGCCCAAUACUGACGCUGAGGCGCGAAAGCGUGGGGAGCAAACAGGAUUAGAAACCCGAGUAGUCC